GAACAAAUCAGAUCAUCCUGCAACAUUGCAAGUGUACUUCUUUUACAGCCAAACCUCACUUUUCUCAUCCCUGACCCCAUUGUUUACGUUUCUUUGAUCAAUUGUUAUUUUUCUUUUUCAAGCUGCAAGAUUUUGAAAACUGUGAGUUGUCAAAACCAUCAUCCCAACUGCAAAUUGAUUUUCUUGAACUUGUUUAGUAAUAUUCUUUUUAUGUUCACGGAUGGAAAAUAUAAUUGGUUUCAAACCUGUAAAUUGUGGGUUUAUUUAAGAUGUGGUUAAAACUGAUGCGCAUGUGUGCAUGCAAAUAAAGAGCAAUAAAAAUGUAAACAUUUUGAGGGGUUUAGUGGUGGUUCAAAAGCUUGUCCUUUUAAUGGGACACUAUUUUGCAGCAUGUGUAUGUAUUUACUUUCCAGUGUGUCCUUGUAUGGUACACUUAUUAAUUGCAGUCACUAACAUUUUCUUAUAAUAGGUGCAUACUUUUGUUUAUGUGCUUACAUAGUAGCCAAAUAUUGUCUAGGAUGAUGACCAACAACUUCUGACCCUCUUAUUUUUAUGUUAAGCGUGUAGAGCUUUCGUCAUAUUCACUUGAAGUCUUACUUCAGCAGUUGUAAUUUACGAGCUGUUAAUUUUGUCUUUGUCAUUUGGACAACUGACUUCAAACUUUUAUUUUCCAGUACGAGCUCUAUGAUCUUAUACUUCAAACAAACAAGUUAUGCAUAAAUCUUUGCAAACCUGGUGCUAGCAUUCGGCAAAUACACAACUACUCGGUUGAAAUGUUGCGUAAGGGGCUUAAGGAGAUUGGAAUUUUGAGAGACAGUGGAAGCAGUUCCUAUCAUCUAUUGAAUCCAACUUCUAUAGGUCACUAUCUAGGAAUGGAUGUCCAUGAUAGUUUUGCUGUGAGCUGUGAUCGUCUUUUGAAGCCAG
This 924-nucleotide unclassified non-coding RNA is filed under the name Hevea brasiliensis (rubber tree). The record is from RNAcentral. Lineage: Eukaryota; Viridiplantae; Streptophyta; Magnoliopsida; Malpighiales; Euphorbiaceae.